AUCCAGCUGACGAAUCCCAAAUGGGACGAAAUGCGAGUCCCAGAU
RNAcentral lists this non-coding RNA (45 nucleotides) under Schistosoma curassoni. The record is from RNAcentral. Lineage: Eukaryota; Metazoa; Platyhelminthes; Trematoda; Strigeidida; Schistosomatidae.